This 478-nucleotide ribosomal RNA is filed under the name uncultured bacterium. RNAcentral describes it as "partial 16S ribosomal RNA". It matches the Rfam family "Bacterial small subunit ribosomal RNA", at positions 28 to 523 of the family's 1533-position model. The record is from RNAcentral.
GACGAACGCUGGCGGCGUGCUUAACACAUGCAAGUCGAACGGUAAGGCCCUUCGGGGUACACGAGUGGCGAACGGGUGAGUAACACGUGGGUGAUCUGCCCUGCACUUCGGGAUAAGCCUGGGAAACUGGGUCUGAUACCGGAUAGGACCACUGCCUGCAUGGGUGGUGGUGGAAAGCUUUUGCGGUGUGGGAUGGGCCCGUGGCCUAUCAGCUUGUUGGUGGGGUGAUGGCCUACCAAGGCGACGUCGGGUAGCCGGCCUAAGAGGGUGACCGGCCACACUGGGACUGGGAUACGGCCCAGACUACUACGGGAGGCAGCAGUGGGGAAUAUUGCACAAUGGGCGAAAGCCUGAUGCAGCGACGCCGCGUGAGGGAUGACGGCCUUCGGGUUGUAAACCUCUUUCAGCACCGACGAAGCGCAAGUGACGGUAGGUGCAGAAGGAGGACCGGCCAACUACGUGCCAGCCGCCGCCGUAA